GUCUCUGUAGCGCAAUGGAUAGCGCGUUGGACUUCUAAUCCAAAGGUCGUGGGUUCGAUUCCUACCUAGGAUG
This 73-nucleotide transfer RNA is filed under the name Trichonephila inaurata madagascariensis. It matches the Rfam family "tRNA". Rfam says of the family: Transfer RNA (tRNA) molecules are approximately 80 nucleotides in length. Their secondary structure includes four short double-helical elements and three loops (D, anti-codon, and T loops). Further hydrogen bonds mediate the characteristic L-shaped molecular structure. tRNAs have two regions of fundamental functional importance: the anti-codon, which is responsible for specific mRNA codon recognition, and the 3' end, to which the tRNAs corresponding amino acid is attached (by aminoacyl-tRNA synthetases). tRNAs cope with the degeneracy of the genetic code in two manners: having more than one tRNA (with a specific anti-codon) for a particular amino acid; and 'wobble' base-pairing, i.e. permitting non-standard base-pairing at the 3rd anti-codon position. Lineage: Eukaryota; Metazoa; Arthropoda; Arachnida; Araneae; Nephilidae. The record is from Rfam by way of RNAcentral.